AUGUCAGUCUCAGGAGUUUGGAGGUUCUGCUCGUGAGCAUGCCAGGACAAAGAGCAUUCACUGUAAGCAGGGACCAGCAUCAUUUACCCUGACUGAGCAGAGAUCAAAGUGCUGCCUGCCCACCCACUAGCAAAGCAGAGGUCUUCAAAAGGGUUCUUGAGAUUUUUUGAUGAACCAGAUCUUUAUCAUUUGCCCUGAAAACUACGGUCAUUGAAAACCAGAAGUGUUGACCCAGAGACCACCUGAUAUCUCCGCAUUGAACACAGCAGGAGCUGUACCACAGCAGCAGAGCCCCGAGCCCUACCUGCAGCCUCAGCCUCACGCCCUGACCUGGCACACCAGCUGCUCUUCUCCUCCUGACCAGGAUCCUAAAACACAAGGUCAGAGUAAUGCUUCACGGAAUCAGAGUGGGAGCUGGGAUGUGUGUAGAAGUCCUCAGGAACCAGAGGAACCCCUAAGACUACCAGUAGUCCAUCUUCAGAUAAAACAUUAA
This 493-nucleotide long non-coding RNA is filed under the name Zonotrichia albicollis (white-throated sparrow). Its description in RNAcentral is "lncRNA (ENSZALG00000008272.1)". Lineage: Eukaryota; Metazoa; Chordata; Aves; Passeriformes; Passerellidae. The record is from RNAcentral.